ACGUUACCUAAAGAAUAAGCACCGGCUAACUCUGUGCCAGCAGCCGCGGUAAUACAGAGGGUGCAAGCGUUAAUCGGAAUUACUGGGCGUAAAGGGUGCGUAGGUGGAUACGUAAGUCAGAUGUGAAAUCCCCGGGCUUAACCUGGGAACUGCAUAUGAUACUGCGAAUCUAGAGUAUGGUAGAGGUAAGUGGAAUUUCCGGUGUAGCGGUGAAAUGCGUAGAUAUCGGAAGGAACAUCAGUGGCGAAGGCGACUUACUGGACUGAUACUGACACUGAGGCACGAAAGCGUGGGGAGCAAACAGGAUUAGAUACCCUGGUAGUCCAUGCUGUAAACGAUGAGAACUAGAUGUUAGGGGGCAUGACCUCUUAGUAUCGAAGCUAACGCGAUAAGUUCUCCGCCUGGGGAGUACGGCCGCAAGGUUAAAACUCAAAGAAAUUGACGGGGGCCCGCACAAGCGGUGGAGCAUGUGGUUUAAUUCGAUGCAACGCGAAGAACCUUACCUACCUUUGAAUCCACAGAACCUAGCAGAGAUGUUGGGGUGCCUUC
This 549-nucleotide ribosomal RNA is filed under the name uncultured bacterium. RNAcentral describes it as "bacterial SSU rRNA". It matches the Rfam family "Bacterial small subunit ribosomal RNA", at positions 472 to 1021 of the family's 1533-position model. The record is from RNAcentral.